GUGGGGAAUAUUGGUCAAUGGGGGCAACCCUGAUGGAGCAACACCGCGUGCUGGAUGAAGGCCUUCGGGUCGUAAACAGCUUUUGUAUACGAAGAAUAUGACGGUAAUAUACGAAUAAGGGUCGGCUAACUACGUGCCAGCAGCCGCGGUCAUACGUAGGACCCAAGCGUUAUCCGGAGUGACUGGGCGUAAAGAGUUGCGUAGGCGGCUUAUUAAGCGAGUAGUGAAAUCUGGUGGCUCAACCAUCAACACAUUGCUCGAACUGAUAGGCUUGAGAAUGGUAGAGGUAGUUGGAAUUUCUUGUGUAGGAGUGAAAUCCGUAGAUAUAAGAAGGAACACCAAUGGCGUAGGCAGACUACUGGACCAUUUCUGACGCUGAGGCACGAAAGCGUGGGGAGCGAACCGGAUUAGAAACCCGGGUAGUCC
This 426-nucleotide ribosomal RNA is filed under the name uncultured bacterium. RNAcentral describes it as "partial 16S ribosomal RNA". It matches the Rfam family "Bacterial small subunit ribosomal RNA", at positions 354 to 796 of the family's 1533-position model. The record is from RNAcentral.